Molecule: long non-coding RNA, 2396 nt
Organism: Conger conger (European conger)
Lineage: Eukaryota; Metazoa; Chordata; Actinopteri; Anguilliformes; Congridae
Exons: 4
Source: RefSeq, a predicted model, not a curated record
CAUAUUUUUCCAAUAUUGUUAGUUGCAGUGGAAAUGAAUGUAAUGUAGUGAAAUAACAGAAUGUAGAACUGAACUAUUUACAGCUACUAUUUACUAGACAAUGGGGAAUUUUAAGAAUCUGCACGCACACGCCCGCACACACACACGCACACACACACACACACGCAGUAUGCGAAAUCACAGGAUGGCCCAGUUCCUCCCUGAGAACUUUUAGCCCACCAGGUUGUGAGAGGUGCAGCACCACAGCCAGGAGGACUUUGAACUUUAAAUGUUUCCACCUCCGGAGAGUCCCCACGGCUGUCUGGGAGAGAAGAGACGUUCUGCCGGUAAGUACAAAGAUGGCCCGUUCCGUUCUUCUUCCUUUGCCAUUCAGGAGCGUGGUUUCCCUCUGAGGCAGGCAAGAGUAUAAAUGUCUCUCUGGGCUGGUCAAAACUGGUGUUCGAUCAGACGGUCGUCCCAGCAGUGAGGCAUCCCAGUUGCACCAUGAGCUCCGCGACCAUCUUGUCUGCUCUCCUCCUGGCUGUAGCAAUUGUCAGUGCGACUGAAGCAAAAAAUGGUGGGGGCUGUUGUGUAACCUAUAGCAGAGGGUCCCAGGUACGGAAGCUCCCUCUGAAUUUGAUUAAGGAAUACAGGAUGCAGGAAGUGACUGGGACCUGCCACAUACAAGCUGUUGUGUUAAUCACACAACGGAAUCGGAGGAUCUGUGCCAACCCAGAAGCAAAGAGUGUGAAACAAAUCCUUAAACAGCUGAGAGGGAAGAAAAAGAAGACACAAAGCGCAAGGCGGAGAAAAGAGAAACAGUGACCUCUGUCACACGAAUGUGUUAUUAGACUAAAACCCACCUGACCACAUUCAUUAAACUGAACUAGUGUUACAACAUGUAAUUUCAUUGUGUCAAAAUGUAAACAUGUCAAAUGUAAAACAAAAAAUACUGUGUUAACCUACAUGAAACAUAUGAAAUCCCUCAACCGCAAUGAUGUAAUAACUUUUUAAUCCCCCCUUGAACAUAUUUUGUUUUAUCGAGACAAUGCUUGUGAUGUCAUUUUUUUUAAAACAUUUUUUAAAUGUUUAAAAAAUGUUUUUUAAACAUUUUAAUUAAAUAUCAUUUAAGCUGUUAAGAAAAAAAUGCCUGCAUAUUUGCUUAGGAAUGAUUAUAACGUAUAACAUUACUAUGUUACCCUGUAGUAAUGAAGGUGUUAAAUGCUUUAUGAAAGCUUUAGAAUGGUUUUAGCAUCACUAACUCAGUACCGGCACCUCCUAUACGCAGACUAUGAACAUUGCAUAGGGCCACACACACACACACACACACACACACAUACACACACACACGCAUGCACACACACACACGCACACACACGUGGACGUUUACAAAAGAAAUUCCCUUUAUCUAUCAGAUUUUGUAUUGCCGCAAAGGCUAAAUGACAGGCAAUGCCGAUAUGACACCUAAAUGGGCAUAUGCCACCAGUGUGGAGUAACUGAAAAAAAGAAGGCUCGAGAAGAAAGUGGAGCUUGUGAUAAUAGUAAGCAAUAAAAUAAAUGUGUUCUGUUAGUUAUAUUCUUACACCGUGUAUGUUCUUACAUUACAAAAAUGACUUACAGCGACUUAUUUCACUGUUGUCAAGGCACUACAUUCAUCUCUUCUCCCGAGUUGAGUCUGGUAUUCUGAUAUCUGGUCCAUAUGUGAAUUGAGUUCUUUAAAAAAUAUUCUAUAGCAUCAGUGCCACCUUCGUACGCUGUGUUACACAUGCAAAAUCCCUUUGUCAUCCGUCAGCAUGGGAAAAGCCAAAGAACUGUCAAUUGAGAGGAGACUGUCACAAGUCUGGUAAAGGGCGCAAAAAAAGACACAAAGGGUUAAACAUACCACUGUAAGGGAAAUAGUUAGAAAAGCGAAAGAAAGUGAAACAUAUGGAACUUUAAUUUUGCUUUUAUUAAUGGCAUUUGGCAGACGCUCUUAUCCAGAGCGACUACAGUUCAUUAGACUAAGCAGGAGCAAUGCAGGGUUAAGGGCCUUGCUCAAGUGCCCAACGGCUGUGCAUGUUAUUGUGGCUACACCAGGGAUCGAACCGCGGACCUUGCGGGUCCCAGUCAUGUACCUUAACCACUACGCUACAGGCCGCCCCAUGAUCUGGCAUGCAAGAAUGUUAUUUCCCCCGUGAAAAGCAAGAGAAGACAUAAUCAUCCCCAAUCCACAAUCUUGAACAAAAGAUUGUGGAAUGGUUGCAGACUUGCCAGGAAGAGGACACAAGUGUAGGUUCUCCCCAAGGACGAUGAGUCAUAUGGCGAGAGAGGGCAUAAAAAACCCAGGUAUCACAGUUUAAGAGAUCUUUUCACCCUAAUAAGCCUAAAAUAUAAGUAUAAGUGCUCACUGAGUGUAUAUAUCACAUCUAUUUUUUCUA